CCCAGACUCCUACGGGAGGCAGCAGUGGGGGAUAUUGCACAAUGGGGGGAACCCUGAUGCAGCGACGCCGCGUGGGUGAAGGAGCGUUUCGGCGCGUAAAGCCCUAUCGGCAGGGAAGAAGGAGGACGGUACCUGACUAAGAAGCCCCGGCUAACUACGUGCCAGCAGCCGCGGUAAUACGUAGGGGGCAAGCGUUAUCCGGAUUUACUGGGUGUAAAGGGGGCGCAGACGGCAGCGCAAGCCAGGAGGGAAAGCCCGGGGCCCAACCCCGGGACUGCUCUUGGAACUGCGCGGCUGGAGUGCAGGAGGGGCAGGCGGAAUUCCUGGUGUAGCGGUGAAAUGCGUAGAUAUCAGGAGGAACACCGGUGGCGAAGGCGGCCUGCUGGACUGCGACUGACGUUGAGGCCCGAAAGCGUGGGGAGCAAACAGGAUUAGAUACCCCAGUA
This 446-nucleotide ribosomal RNA is filed under the name uncultured bacterium. RNAcentral's name for it is "bacterial SSU rRNA". It matches the Rfam family "Bacterial small subunit ribosomal RNA", at positions 330 to 792 of the family's 1533-position model. The record is from RNAcentral.